RNAcentral lists this ribosomal RNA (468 nucleotides) under uncultured bacterium. RNAcentral's name for it is "partial 16S ribosomal RNA". It matches the Rfam family "Bacterial small subunit ribosomal RNA", at positions 28 to 507 of the family's 1533-position model. The record is from RNAcentral.
GACGAACGCUGGCGGCGUGCUUAACACAUGCAAGUCGAACGGAAAGGCCCUGCUUUUGUGGGGUGCUCGAGUGGCGAACGGGUGAGUAACACGUGAGUAACCUGCCCUUGACUUUGGGAUAACUUCAGGAAACUGGGGCUAAUACCGGAUAGGAGCUCCUUCUGCAUGGUGGGGGUUGGAAAGUUUCGGCGGUUGGGGAUGGACUCGCGGCUUAUCAGCUUGUUGGUGGGGUAGUGGCUUACCAAGGCUUUGACGGGUAGCCGGCCUGAGAGGGUGACCGGCCACAUUGGGACUGAGAUACGGCCCAGACUCCUACGGGAGGCAGCAGUGGGGAAUAUUGCACAAUGGGCGGAAGCCUGAUGCAGCAACGCCGCGUGCGGGAUGACGGCCUUCGGGUUGUAAACCGCUUUCGCCUGUGACGAAGCGUGAGUGACGGUAAUGGGUAAAGAAGCAACGGCUAACUACGUG